CCUACGGGUGGCUGCAGUGAGGAAUAUUGGUCAAUGGGCGUAAGCCUGAACCAGCCAAGUAGCGUGCAGGAUGACGGCCCUAUGGGUUGUAAACUGCUUUUAUGCGGGGAUAAAGUGCGGGACGUGUCCCGCUUUGCAGGUACCGCAUGAAUAAGGACCGGCUAAUUCCGUGCCAGCAGCCGCGGUAAUACGGAAGGUCCGGGCGUUAUCCGGAUUUAUUGGGUUUAAAGGGAGCGUAGGCCGUGUAUUAAGUGUGUUGUGAAAUGUAGAUGCUCAACAUCUGAACUGCAGCGCAUACUGGUGCACUUGAGUACGCACAACGUAGGCGGAAUUCGUCGUGUAGCGGUGAAAUGCUUAGAUAUGACGAAGAACUCCGAUUGCGAAGGCAGCUUACGGGAGCGCAACUGACGCUGAUGCUCGAAGGUGCGGGUAUCGAAC
RNAcentral lists this ribosomal RNA (438 nucleotides) under uncultured bacterium. RNAcentral describes it as "bacterial SSU rRNA". It matches the Rfam family "Bacterial small subunit ribosomal RNA", at positions 338 to 773 of the family's 1533-position model. The record is from RNAcentral.